RNAcentral lists this transfer RNA (16 nucleotides) under Annona dumetorum. RNAcentral describes it as "partial tRNA-Ser". The record is from RNAcentral. Lineage: Eukaryota; Viridiplantae; Streptophyta; Magnoliopsida; Magnoliales; Annonaceae.
GCUCAGCCAUCUCUCC